RNAcentral lists this ribosomal RNA (253 nucleotides) under uncultured bacterium. RNAcentral describes it as "partial 16S ribosomal RNA". It matches the Rfam family "Bacterial small subunit ribosomal RNA", at positions 524 to 776 of the family's 1533-position model. The record is from RNAcentral.
UACGUAGGGUGCGAGCGUUAAUCGGAAUUACUGGGCGUAAAGCGUGCGCAGGCGGUGAUGUAAGACAGAUGUGAAAUCCCCGGGCUCAACCUGGGACCUGCAUUUGUGACUGCAUCGCUGGAGUACGGCAGAGGGGGAUGGAAUUCCGCGUGUAGCAGUGAAAUGCGUAGAUAUGCGGAGGAACACCGAUGGCGAAGGCAAUCCCCUGGGCCUGUACUGACGCUCAUGCACGAAAGCGUGGGGAGCAAACAGG